CAAGUCGAACGCGAAAGGGGCUUCGGCCCUGAGUAGAGUGGCGAACGGGUGAGUAACACGUGGGUGAUCUACCUUCGAGUGGGGGAUAACGUUCCGAAAGGAGCGCUAAUACCGCAUGACGUUCCGGGUUUGAAGACCUGGAAACCAAAGCCGGGGACCGCAAGGCCUGGCGCUUGGAGAGGAGCCCGCGUCCGAUUAGCUAGUUGGCGGGGUAACGGCCCACCAAGGCGACGAUCGGUAGCCGGCCUGAGAGGGCGGACGGCCACACUGGAACUGAGACACGGUCCAGACUCCUACGGGAGGCAGCAGUGGGGAAUUGUUCACAAUGGGCGCAAGCCUGAUGACGCAACGCCGCGUGGGGGAUGAAGGUCUUCGGAUUGUAAACCCCUGUCGAACGGGACGAAAGACUCGCGAGCUAAUCAUCGCGGGAGUGACGGUACCGUUAAAGGAAGCCACGGCUAACUCUGUGCCAGCAGCCGCGGUAAUACAGAGGUGGCAAGCGUUGUUCGGAAUUACUGGGCGUAAAGGGCGAGUAGGUGGCCAUCUAAGUCAGACGUGAAAUCCCCCGGCUUAACCUGGGAACUGCGUCUGAUACUGGACGGCUUGAGUAUGGGAGAGGAACGUAGAAUUCCAGGUGUAGCGGUGAAAUGCGUAGAUAUCUGGAGGAAUACCGGUGGCGAAGGCGGCGUUCUGGACCAUUACUGACACUGAAUCGCGAAAGCUAGGGGAGCAAACGGGAUUAGAUACCCCGGUAGUCCUAGCCCUAAACGAUGAAUGCUUGGUGUGGCGGGUAUCGAUCCCUGCCGUGCC
RNAcentral lists this ribosomal RNA (810 nucleotides) under uncultured Bacillota bacterium. Its description in RNAcentral is "bacterial SSU rRNA". It matches the Rfam family "Bacterial small subunit ribosomal RNA", at positions 58 to 847 of the family's 1533-position model. The record is from RNAcentral. Lineage: Bacteria; Bacillati; Bacillota.